CAGCAGCAGCCGCGGUAAUACGGAGGGGGCUAGCGUUGUUCGGAAUUACUGGGUGUAAAGCGCACGUAGGCGGCUUGGUAAGUUAGAGGUGAAAGCCUGGAGCUCAACUCCAGAAUUGCCUUUAAGACUGCCGAGCUAGCAGGUGAGAGAGGUAAGUGGAAUUCCGAGUGUAGAGGUGAAAUUCGUAGAUAUUCGGAAGAACACCAGUGGCGAAGGCGGCUUACUGGCUCAUACUGGACGCUGAGGUGCGAAAGCGUGGGGAGCAAACAGGAUUAGAGACCCCUGUAGUCCCUGUCUCUUAUAC
This 304-nucleotide ribosomal RNA is filed under the name uncultured bacterium. RNAcentral describes it as "partial 16S ribosomal RNA". It matches the Rfam family "Bacterial small subunit ribosomal RNA", at positions 506 to 807 of the family's 1533-position model. The record is from RNAcentral.